UUUAUAAGACUAAAUUAGGUAUGUAAUUUUAUCGUUUUCUCUCUGUAUUAUACACAAACAUCCACACAAACACACAUACUUUAACUGUGUAGUAGGAUUUUUUUAACGUUACUUUUGUUUAUUUUACGAUUUUGACACAAUGGGCGUCCUUAAAUCGUUUCACGGUGUUUUGUUUAAUAGCGUAUAUGUAUAAAACACGAUAUAUAAGCAGUUCUGAUCAUGUACAUGAUGUAUUUAUAAGAGAGAUAGAAUGUGUAUAAGCCAAUUGGAAUCAUUAAUUAAAAGCAUUGUCAGCGGAAUCAUUUGUACAAUUUGUGACAGAACUUUAUAAAACUUAUACAGUAGGUUAUAUUAUUAAUAUCUAAUACGAGUGCGGAAAGCAAUGCCAAUCGAAAAUUUUGUAUAGACGUGUUACGAAAUUGUAUCUACUCGACGCUUAGGUUGACAAAUAAGACUUUAAAUGUCGGUAUCGGAUCAAAGCACACAAGUUAUUUAAAUAUUUUAAUUACCUGUGAAUCAUGGUGUUAAACUGCAUAGUAAUGAUAAAAAGAAAACAAACAAAAAUACUGAACUCAGAAGAAAAUUUAAUCGGAAAGUCCAUUAUAACAUGGCAAAAUCAAAAGACAAAACAGAUCAAUAACGAAUGGACAAGAACUGUCAUGUCCGCUUAUAUUUACUUCAAUAACACACGUCUUUUUAAAAACUUUAUCAUAGCUAAUUUCCUGUUGAAUAUUCCUUAAGGAACAAAUAUGAUAUCAUAAUUAUUCCGUGAAGAAUGAAUGAUAUAGCCCGUUUAACUUUGGAAAUACAUUUCCUUGGAUUGUUUCUUUUGUUGACUAGUAUAUACUAAUCUGUGUGAUACCUACUAAGAAAAAGAUUGAUUUCCUUUAUAUUAUUUUCAUGUAAAAUGUGACCGGUUUGACCCAACAACAUCUUAUAUAUAUUCCUGCAAAGUUUCAAAAUAUUCCGUUUUGUAAUUUUCUGAAGUACGAGUUAUGCCCCUUGGAAAAAAAAUUGUAUAACGGAAAUUGCCUUACAUUUGCUUUGAAGCGUUCAUUUCUUUAAGAUUAUUAUACAAAGUUUUUACAAGGACGAUAACCGAAAAAAAAAUUUUUGUAAUUAUCCUUGUUCCUCAACAGAUUAAAAAAAAAAACGCGGAACGCGGUAGACUUUUGUCAUUUUCUUUUUCUUUCUUUUUUAAAAAUUUCAUGUUGUAUUUAUACCAUUCAUACUCUUUAAAUAAAGUUUAACAACAUUUUAUGUGUAUUAGAAUUACAAAAACUAUAUGUGAAAAACUUCUAAAUUUUAUAGUCGAAGUGUGUCGAGUAGUUUUUGGGGAGUACAGUUUCAAGUUAAACAUAUGUGUUUCUAACCUGAUGUGGAUCGUAUACUUAUUAAAUUAUAAAAACGACAAGUAUGCGGUGAUUGGAAAGAUGAUUGUUGCCGCAGUGAAUUACUCAUUAUCGAGCACAAAUAUUUACGAAAACUGGUAUUUGCUGUUAGUUCGCUAAGCAUGCUGCAAAAGUAGAGUUAUUGACUCGGUGGUCAGAAGCUUUAGUAGGCCAACACGUCUUAUGUUAUGUAUGUGAUUUUCUGAACAUUAAGCCUGUAAAAAUAAUGAUAUUGAAUUUAAAUGAAACUUGAACUUUAAUAUUAGUAUUAAAGGCCUUAAAGAUAAAUUAAAUUAUAAUCAAUAAAGUAUGCGAGACAUUUCAGCAUAUAUUAGAGUAUUCAUGUAAGUACAUACAAUCUAUUGCAGGAUUAUGGCCACUAAUUGGGGUAUUUGUGGUAUUUGUGAAAACCUUCAGAUUAUCAAACCUUCAGUAGUAUGGUGUUCCGAAUGUGACGAAGGACUAUGUGAAGAGUGUAAGAAACAUCACGCAGUGUCCAAGGCAUCAAAAAACCAUGAAACCGUUUCUAUCGCCAAAUACAAAAACUUACCCACCGAAGUCCUGCAAAUAUCUCAGACCUGCAAACUUCAUAAUGAGAAAUACGAGCUGUUUUGUGCAAAACACGAUUGUCCUUGCUGUAAGAAAUGUGUGAAAUCUCACAACGAUUGUAAAGGUUUAACUGACAUAAAUGAACUCAUAAGAAACGUAAAAACUUCAAACGCAUUUUAUGAAAUCGAACAAACCCUGCAGGAAGUCGUCGAGAAUAUAAAACGACUAAGAACAAACAGGAAUGAAAAUUUAAAAUCUAUAGAAAACAAGAAAAGAGAAAUUGAAGCAGCAAUAAAACAAACCAG
This 2245-nucleotide long non-coding RNA is filed under the name Mytilus galloprovincialis (Mediterranean mussel). The record is from RNAcentral. Lineage: Eukaryota; Metazoa; Mollusca; Bivalvia; Mytilida; Mytilidae.